GUCGAGAAUCUUUCACAAUGGGGGCAACCCUGAUGGAGCGACGCCGCGUGGAGGAUAAGGUCUUCGGAUUGUAAACUCCUGUCAUGCGUGAACAAGGUUGCUUGGUUAAUACCUGGGCAAAUUGAUGGUAACGCAAGAGGAAGAGACGGCUAACUCUGUGCCAGCAGCCGCGGUAAUACAGAGGUCUCAAGCGUUGUUCGGAAUCACUGGGCGUAAAGGGUGCGUAGGUGGCGUGGUAAGUCAGAUGUGAAAGCCCGGGGCUCAACCUCGGAACUGCAUCCGAGACUGCCAUGCUAGAGUACUGGAGAGGUGACUAGAAUUCUCGGUGUAGCAGUGAAAUGCGUAGAUAUCGAGAGGAAUACCAAAGGCGUAGGCAGGUCACUGGACAGUUACUGACACUGAGGCACGAAGGCCAGGGGAGCGAACGGGAUUAGAAACCCCUGUAGUCC
This 449-nucleotide ribosomal RNA is filed under the name uncultured bacterium. RNAcentral's name for it is "partial 16S ribosomal RNA". It matches the Rfam family "Bacterial small subunit ribosomal RNA", at positions 354 to 796 of the family's 1533-position model. The record is from RNAcentral.